UGCGUAGGCGGAAUGAUAAGUUAGUGGUGAAAGCCCCCGGCUCAACCGGGGAACUGCCAUUAAUACUGUCAUUCUUGAGUAUAGUUGAAGUGGGCGGAAUGUAUCAUGUAGCGGUGAAAUGCUUAGAUAUGAUACAGAACACCGAUAGCGUAGGCAGCUUGCUGAACUAUAACUGACGCUCAGGCACGAAAGCGUGGGGAGCAAACAGGAUUAGAUACCCUGGUAGUC
This 228-nucleotide ribosomal RNA is filed under the name uncultured bacterium. Its description in RNAcentral is "partial 16S ribosomal RNA". It matches the Rfam family "Bacterial small subunit ribosomal RNA", at positions 568 to 795 of the family's 1533-position model. The record is from RNAcentral.